UGCGUAGGCGGCCUGACAAGUUGGGUGUGAAAUCCCUCGGCUUAACCGAGGAAUUGCGCUCAAAACUGUUGGGCUUGAGGGAGUUAGAGGUGAGCGGAACUUAGGGUGGAGCGGUGAAAUGCGUUGAUAUCCUAAGGAACACCAGUGGCGAAAGCGGCUCACUGGAGCUUUUCUGACGCUGAGGCACGAAAGCUAGGGGAGCGAACGG
This 208-nucleotide ribosomal RNA is filed under the name uncultured bacterium. Its description in RNAcentral is "partial 16S ribosomal RNA". It matches the Rfam family "Bacterial small subunit ribosomal RNA", at positions 568 to 775 of the family's 1533-position model. The record is from RNAcentral.